UACGAGGGGGCGAGCGUUGUUCGGAAUUAUUGGGCGUAAAGGGCGCGUAGGCGGUGCGGUAAGUCACCUGUGAAACCCCCGGGCUCAACUCGGGGCCUGCAGGCGAAACUGCCGUGCUGGAGUGCGGAAGAGGUGAGUGGAAUUCCCGGAUGUAGCGGUGAAAUGCGUAGAUAUCGGGAGGAACACCUGUGGCGAAAGCGGCUCACUGGACCGCAACUGACGCUGA
RNAcentral lists this ribosomal RNA (226 nucleotides) under uncultured bacterium. Its description in RNAcentral is "partial 16S ribosomal RNA". It matches the Rfam family "Bacterial small subunit ribosomal RNA", at positions 524 to 749 of the family's 1533-position model. The record is from RNAcentral.